Molecule: ribosomal RNA, 494 nt
Filed under: uncultured bacterium
Lineage: Bacteria
Description: partial 16S ribosomal RNA
Rfam family: Bacterial small subunit ribosomal RNA
Source: RNAcentral
GACGAACGCUGGCGGCGUGCUUAACACAUGCAAGUCGAACGGUGAAGCGCCUUCCUUUUUGGUGGGUGUGGAUGAGUGGCGAACGGGUGAGUAACACGUGAGUAACCUGCCCCCUUCUUCUGGAUAACCGCAUGAAAGUGUGGCUAAUACGGGAUAUUCUGGGUCUGUCGCAUGAUGGGUCUGGGAAAGAUAUUGUUUCGGUGGGGGAUGGGCUCGCGGCCUAUCAGCUUGUUGGUGGGGUGAUGGCCUACCAAGGCGGUGACGGGUAGCCGGCCUGAGAGGGUGGACGGUCACACUGGGACUGAGACACGGCCCAGACUCCUACGGGAGGCAGCAGUGGGGAAUAUGGCACAAUGGGCGCAAGCCUGAUGCAGCGACGCCGCGUGAGGGAUGGAGGCCGUCGGGUUGUGAACCUCUUUCGCCAGUGAAGCAGGCCUGCCUCGUUUGUGGGUGGGUUGACGGUAGCUGGAUAAGAAGCGCCGGCUAACUACGUG